This 124-nucleotide ribosomal RNA is filed under the name Pantoea dispersa. Lineage: Bacteria; Pseudomonadati; Pseudomonadota; Gammaproteobacteria; Enterobacterales; Erwiniaceae. The record is from RNAcentral.
CCUGGCGGCAACAGCGCGGUGGUCCCACCUGACCCCAUGCCGAACUCAGAAGNUCAGAAGUGAAACGCCGUAGCGCCGAUGGUAGUGUGGGGCCUCCCCAUGCGAGAGUAGGGAACUGCCAGGC